This 301-nucleotide ribosomal RNA is filed under the name uncultured bacterium. RNAcentral's name for it is "partial 16S ribosomal RNA". It matches the Rfam family "Bacterial small subunit ribosomal RNA", at positions 509 to 808 of the family's 1533-position model. The record is from RNAcentral.
CAGCCGCGCGGUAAUACGUAGGGCGCAAGCGUUGUCCGGAAUUAUUGGGCGUAAAGAGCUCGUAGGCGGUUUGUCGCGUCUGGUGUGAAAACCUCAGGCUCAACCUGGGGCGUGCAUCGGGUACGGGCAGACUAGAGUGCGGUAGGGGAGACUGGAAUUCCUGGUGUAGCGGUGGAAUGCGCAGAUAUCAGGAGGAACACCGAUGGCGAAGGCAGGUCUCUGGGCCGCAACUGACGCUGAGGAGCGAAAGCAUGGGGAGCGAACAGGAUUAGAUACCCCUGUAGUCCCUGUCUCUUAUACA